Long non-coding RNA from Mobula hypostoma (lesser devil ray), 739 nucleotides. RefSeq lists it as uncharacterized. NCBI's taxonomy places the organism in Eukaryota, Metazoa, Chordata, Chondrichthyes, Myliobatiformes, Myliobatidae. The record is from RefSeq and is a predicted model, not a curated record. The transcript has 3 exons.
AUUCAAGGUGCCCGUACCGGACAGUCUGUAUUAACAGUGGCUUCUUUAUUACCAUGGAAACCUGCUAGGAAUGACAGCAGGAGUUGGGGUUAUAGUCACUUCAGGAUCGUUGGAAACCCAUUUGAUCUGUCAGUUUCACUGUAGUUUUCUUUCCUGAGUUUUCAUCUCUUCCACAGCAGCAGUGGGGUUGAGGGUCCCCUUGAUACGAUCUCAGCUCCGAUACCAUUGAUUGGUUUGGGGAUGGGAUCAGGAAGUUGUAGAAUGCAAAAGCUGCACCCAGUGUAUAGAUUCCUUCUCUGGUGUGCUGCCAGCGAGUGAGUGGAGGGAUAUGCCUUUCCCCACAACAAGAGGACGGAGCUGGGUCAGAAACUCGGAAGCGUGCCUGGACAUUGCCACUGAGGCCGGCAGCAGCAGGGGCUUGGUACUCUGCUGCUAGGAGCAGCGCAGGGUGUGGUUCAGCGGCCGUGCCGGUCAGGAAGGAGAACACGUCAUGGAGACGCUGUGACCAUCCACAGCCUACAAGUGUAGAGGAGAGGAUACUGGAGGUCACUGGAGCCUCAGACUGCCCUGUCAGAGGCAGGAUGGUGGUGAAUCCUGGACAAGAUGAUACAAUUGCUUAUCAGCAACACACACGGCAAACAACGUCCAGUCAUAUUGACUUCAUUUCAACAAGCUUCCAGUUGUGCAGGUGGUGGAAGUUGCUGACAACUCCUCAGGAGUACCGUAGAGGACUCUGCAG